Molecule: ribosomal RNA, 1851 nt
Filed under: Escherichia coli
Lineage: Bacteria; Pseudomonadati; Pseudomonadota; Gammaproteobacteria; Enterobacterales; Enterobacteriaceae
Description: partial 23S ribosomal RNA
Rfam family: Bacterial large subunit ribosomal RNA
Source: RNAcentral
GUACACAAAAAUGCACAUGCUGUGAGCUCGAUGAGUAGGGCGGGACACGUGGUAUCCUGUCUGAAUAUGGGGGGACCAUCCUCCAAGGCUAAAUACUCCUGACUGACCGAUAGUGAACCAGUACCGUGAGGGAAAGGCGAAAAGAACCCCGGCGAGGGGAGUGAAAAAGAACCUGAAACCGUGUACGUACAAGCAGUGGGAGCACGCUUAGGCGUGUGACUGCGUACCUUUUGUAUAAUGGGUCAGCGACUUAUAUUCUGUAGCAAGGUUAACCGAAUAGGGGAGCCGAAGGGAAACCGAGUCUUAACUGGGCGUUAAGUUGCAGGGUAUAGACCCGAAACCCGGUGAUCUAGCCAUGGGCAGGUUGAAGGUUGGGUAACACUAACUGGAGGACCGAACCGACUAAUGUUGAAAAAUUAGCGGAUGACUUGUGGCUGGGGGUGAAAGGCCAAUCAAACCGGGAGAUAGCUGGUUCUCCCCGAAAGCUAUUUAGGUAGCGCCUCGUGAAUUCAUCUCCGGGGGUAGAGCACUGUUUCGGCAAGGGGGUCAUCCCGACUUACCAACCCGAUGCAAACUGCGAAUACCGGAGAAUGUUAUCACGGGAGACACACGGCGGGUGCUAACGUCCGUCGUGAAGAGGGAAACAACCCAGACCGCCAGCUAAGGUCCCAAAGUCAUGGUUAAGUGGGAAACGAUGUGGGAAGGCCCAGACAGCCAGGAUGUUGGCUUAGAAGCAGCCAUCAUUUAAAGAAAGCGUAAUAGCUCACUGGUCGAGUCGGCCUGCGCGGAAGAUGUAACGGGGCUAAACCAUGCACCGAAGCUGCGGCAGCGACACUGUGUGUUGUUGGGUAGGGGAGCGUUCUGUAAGCCUGCGAAGGUGUGCUGUGAGGCAUGCUGGAGGUAUCAGAAGUGCGAAUGCUGACAUAAGUAACGAUAAAGCGGGUGAAAAGCCCGCUCGCCGGAAGACCAAGGGUUCCUGUCCAACGUUAAUCGGGGCAGGGUGAGUCGACCCCUAAGGCGAGGCCGAAAGGCGUAGUCGAUGGGAAACAGGUUAAUAUUCCUGUACUUGGUGUUACUGCGAAGGGGGGACGGAGAAGGCUAUGUUGGCCGGGCGACGGUUGUCCCGGUUUAAGCGUGUAGGCUGGUUUUCCAGGCAAAUCCGGAAAAUCAAGGCUGAGGCGUGAUGACGAGGCACUACGGUGCUGAAGCAACAAAUGCCCUGCUUCCAGGAAAAGCCUCUAAGCAUCAGGUAACAUCAAAUCGUACCCCAAACCGACACAGGUGGUCAGGUAGAGAAUACCAAGGCGCUUGAGAGAACUCGGGUGAAGGAACUAGGCAAAAUGGUGCCGUAACUUCGGGAGAAGGCACGCUGAUAUGUAGGUGAAGUCCCUCGCGGAUGGAGCUGAAAUCAGUCGAAGAUACCAGCUGGCUGCAACUGUUUAUUAAAAACACAGCACUGUGCAAACACGAAAGUGGACGUAUACGGUGUGACGCCUGCCCGGUGCCGGAAGGUUAAUUGAUGGGGUCAGCGCAAGCGAAGCUCUUGAUCGAAGCCCCGGUAAACGGCGGCCGUAACUAUAACGGUCCUAAGGUAGCGAAAUUCCUUGUCGGGUAAGUUCCGACCUGCACGAAUGGCGUAAUGAUGGCCAGGCUGUCUCCACCCGAGACUCAGUGAAAUUGAACUCGCUGUGAAGAUGCAGUGUACCCGCGGCAAGACGGAAAGACCCCGUGAACCUUUACUAUAGCUUGACACUGAACAUUGAGCCUUGAUGUGUAGGAUAGGUGGGAGGCUUUGAAGUGUGGACGCCAGUCUGCAUGGAGCCGACCUUGAAAUACCACCCUUUAAUGUUU